RNA transcript from Panicum virgatum (switchgrass), 3638 nucleotides. RefSeq lists it as uncharacterized. The record is from RefSeq and is a predicted model, not a curated record. The transcript is spliced from 18 exons. NCBI's taxonomy places the organism in Eukaryota, Viridiplantae, Streptophyta, Magnoliopsida, Poales, Poaceae.
GCCCAGCCGGCCCUUAACCACUCCAACCAAAACCCAGGGCCUCGCGUCGUUUGAUGCGAUUCCGGCGGCGAUCGCGAGCGCCUCCACCACCACCCGCUCCCCCGUCCUAGCGUGCGUUCGGGCGAUCUCCCCUCUCGCGGCGGGCAUGGCUGGCGGCGGGGCGCGUGGGGGCUCCGACAGGGCGGGGGCGGCGCACUCGCCCACCACCACGACGGCGAUCCAGUCCACCAUCCAGUCGAUCAAGGAGGUCGUCGGAGGCCACUCCGACGCCGACAUCUUGGACACCCUCCGCGAGUCCAAUAUGGACCCCAACGAGACGGCGCAGAAGCUGCUCAACCAAGAUCCAUUCCACGAAGUGAAAAGAAAGAGGGACAAGAAGAAAGAGAGUUCUGGUCAGAAGAGCUAUGCUGAUAGUACUGCACAGGUUGAGCAGAACCCACAAUGGAUGAAGCCGCACGCACAAAGGAUUGAGAAUGAAAGAAGAGCUCCUAAUCAGGGUCAGAUGUCAGGCCCUAGUAGGGAAUUUCGGGUUGUGAGGGACAACCGAGUUCAACAUGGUACAGUGGAAAACAGACCAGAACCAGGAAACAAAGAUUCACCAAAUGUACAAACAUCUGAUAAGAGUUUUGUUCAGUCUGGUCGAAACCGUUCACCAGCUACAACUUCAGAUGGCCAGAUCACACAUCAAAAUGUUAAGCACAACUCCCACUCUGAUACACUUCAAGGGAAGAGGGAUGCUCAGGGUGCUACGCAGAAGCAUGCAAAGCCAUAUCUGAAGAACUCUCAGAACGAGCAGCACUUUCCAGGUUCUGACCCAGCCCAUGUGCCAUCCAAUGUGAGGAAUGCUGGUGGACCUGUUGGACCUGCUCGACGUCAAGUUGGUGUUAUUAAUUCCACUAGGCAACCUGCUGGCCGUUUGGGCUAUCAGAUGCAUGCACCGGGCAGUUCUUAUGCUAAUAAUCAGAGGGGGAAUUUUUCCUCAGUUGGGACAUCUGGGUGGCACCCAGCUUUUAUGUCUAGAAACAUUCAACAAAACCAGAGACCUGACAUCAUGUUCCGUGGAAGGCCUAUUGGUAGAUCUUUUGUUGCCCAAAACAUCAACAGGUAUCACCAGGGUGCUACUAGUAACCAAAAAGCUGUUCAUCCUAUUAAGGAGUGGAAGCCAAAAUCGACAAAGAAGUCAUCCACAACUGAUGCAGAUAACAGUGUAGCUGAUGCUGUUUCUCCUUCAGCUAGCAAUACUGAAAAUACUAAUGCAUCAGAUGUAAACGGCUUGUCUGAUAAAUUUUCGCAAUCUAACUUGCACGAGGUAGAACAUGUUAUCAUCCCGGAACAUCUUCGUGUGCCGGAAUAUGAGCAGACAAAGUUAAGGUUUGGCAGUUUUACAUCUGGUUUUGAUUCAGAACAAGUAUCGACCUCAACCUCUCCAGACUCUGAACAACCAGAACAUGUACAAGAACCGGUUCAUCAGGUUAGCGAAGAUGAUAGUUUGGGUGCUGGACAUGAUGAUGUGGAUGAGCAAGCCAGAUCUUCACAGCACCUCUCCACAUCAACGGCUGAGAUUUCCUUACCACCAUCCGAGGAUAGUGACAGAAUGAGUGGACAAGUAGAGAAUGAUGAUGGUCUGGGCUUAGUUCAGAGUGACACUCCAAUCGGUGCAGCAGAUGGAGAAAGUACCCAGAUCACCACAACUUUGACAGCUUUUUCUACAUAUAGUCAUGAAGAUCCUAAUAUGCAUUCAAAUAAUGAGGCACAGCUAUAUGGACUGGUGGAACCUAAUGUACAUCAGCAAGUAUUAGCUUCCUCUUCUCAGGGGUACCCUUCAGAAAACCCGGAAGCAGAUAAUGCUGUGCAAGUGUUCAGGAUGCCAGAUUCUAAUGUUCACUCACAAGUACUUCCUUCCACUUCUGAGGCACUAAAUCCUCAGAUGGUGAGCAACAGCCCUUUUGCAAUCUCUUCACAGCAGCAACAUAUGUCUCAGCAACAAGCUGCAGCACAGAUGUACCCUCAAAUGCAUGUGCAACAUUUUCCAAAUUUCAUACCAUACCGACAGCUAUAUUCUCCAGUUUAUCCUGUGCCUAUGCCAAACUACUCUUCAAAUGUCCCAUACCCAUCAAAUGGGAACAAUUAUCUUCAGAUGCCAGGUGGAGGCUCACAUUUAACUGCAGGAGGCAUGAAGUAUGGAGUUUCACAGUAUAAACCAGUCCCAACUGGUAACCCGUCUGGGUAUGGAAACUACACUCAUCCAGCUGGUUUUACAAUUGGUUCUCCUGGUGUUAUUGGUGCUGCAGUUGGUGUUGAUGAUGUCAAUAGGAUGAAGUACAAGGACAACAACAUUUAUGCCUCGACUCCACAGGUCGAGUCCUCUGACAUCUGGAUUCAGACAGCUAGAGAGAUUCCAACUAUGCAGGUUCCUCCGUACUACAACAUAUCAGGUCAAGCAACACCUGGUGCUUUUGUGCCAAAUCCAGCGAAUGCAUCUUUCAAUGCUACAGCCCAAUCUUCUCAUGCUCAGUUCCCAGGCAUGUACCAUCCCCAGCAACCUCCCUCUAUUGUAAGUCCGCACCCCAUGGUGCAUCAACAGGUGCCGUCAGCGAUUGGCCCCAAUGUUGGUGUUGGGGUGGCUGCUCCUGGCCCCCAAGUUGGGGCUUACCAGCAACCACAGCUCGGUCAUAUGAAUUGGAGACCCAGCUUUCAGCUGCAGGUGCAGGCUCUGGCUGCCGUCGAUGCUGUCCAUUUCGGGGACAGGGCGUGGAGCGGCGCACGGCAGGACGAGCAGCAGCACAACAACGACCACCAACACCCCAGCGCGAGUCAUCGACGCCUCACGCCCACGAGGCCCCGACUUCCCUUCCGGACAGCGGCGGCGGCGCAACCUUCUCCUCCGCCAUGGGAACGCGGGAGGUGUACGAGGAGAAGCUCCGCAGCGGCGCGCACCUCCACCGCGACCCCACCAUCAACCCCGGCCUCGGCUCGCCUCGCUGCCCGCGCUGCCUCUCGCUCCUCAACCCCACCGCCGGAGAGGGGGACUGGGCCAUCACCUCCGUCCUGCACGACGCCACCGCCGUGGCUGGUUCCGGCGCCGGCGCAUUGCUCAGCGCUGUGCACGGGUUUAACACAGGGAUCCCAUUUGUCCAGAAGCAUGUGAAGGGACCGAAGUGGCUCCAGCUGCUUGUUGGGGUGCCGCCACUGCUGCUGUUCUCAGGUGCCAGUGCUGUAUUUGGUGCAUAUGCACUUCCAAGGUUUGCUCAGCUCACGGUGACGUCUUACUACGCGGCAUCAAGUGGCUCUCACUAUGCAGUUUCACAGAUCACCCGGCAAAUCGAAAGCGCCCAUUUUUCAGAAUCUGAAGAGAAAUCUAGAUGAAUUCUUGGCCGUCAAUCUGCUCCAAUGGUGCCAUGUACAUGGUAUAUAAGUAGUUACGAACGAUUACUGCUGCUGUUGCAAGUCAAAUUAUGUUGGUGAAACUGUUGUCUUGGGUAACAUUGUGUUAGAAUUCGACUUUAUAUGCAGAGUAGUGAGGUGAACUAGUAAGAACACGCAGUGAAUUGUAAGGGGUACAUUAUUUGCAGUCAUCAAGAACAUGACCUGCACUGCGUGACUAUGAAAUAAACCAUGAAGCAGCAUUCAUGAAUACA